This 445-nucleotide ribosomal RNA is filed under the name uncultured bacterium. RNAcentral's name for it is "bacterial SSU rRNA". It matches the Rfam family "Bacterial small subunit ribosomal RNA", at positions 331 to 795 of the family's 1533-position model. The record is from RNAcentral.
CCAGACUCCUACGGGAGGCAGCAGUGGGGAAUAUUGCACAAUGGGGGAAACCCUGAUGCAGCGAUGCCGCGUGGAGGAAGAAGGUUUUCGGAUUGUAAACUCCUUUUAUCAGGGACGAUAAUGACGGUACCUGAAGAAAAAGCUCCGGCUAACUACGUGCCAGCAGCCGCGGUAAUACGUAGGGAGCGAGCGUUGUCCGGAAUUACUGGGUGUAAAGGGAGCGUAGGCGGGACGGCAAGUCAGCGGUAAAAAUGCGGAGCUCAACUCCGUCGAGCCGUUGAAACUGCCGUUCUUGAGUGAGCGAGAAGUAUGCGGAAUGCGUGGUGUAGCGGUGAAAUGCAUAGAUAUCACGCAGAACUCCGAUUGCGAAGGCAGCAUACCGGCGCUCAACUGACGCUGAAGCACGAAGGCGUGGGUAUCGAACAGGAUUAGAUACCCGGGUAAC